This 458-nucleotide ribosomal RNA is filed under the name uncultured bacterium. Its description in RNAcentral is "partial 16S ribosomal RNA". It matches the Rfam family "Bacterial small subunit ribosomal RNA", at positions 338 to 795 of the family's 1533-position model. The record is from RNAcentral.
CCUACGGGAGGCAGCAGUGAGGAAUAUUGGUCAAUGGGCGAGAGCCUGAACCAGCCAAGUCGCGUGAGGGAGUACUGCCCUAUGGGUUGUAAACCUCUUUUGUCGGGGAGCAAAAGCCGGACGUGUCCGGCUGUGAGAGUACCCGAAGAAAAAGCAUCGGCUAAUUCCGUGCCAGCAGCCGCGGUAAUACGGAGGAUGCGAGCGUUAUCCGGAUUUAUUGGGUUUAAAGGGUGCGCAGGCGGAUUUUUAAGUCAGCGGUAAAAUCGUGGGGCUCAACCCCAUCCAGCCGUUGAAACUGGGGAUCUAGAGUGUGCGAGAGGUAUGCGGAAUGCGUGGUGUAGCGGUGAAAUGCAUAGAUAUCACGCAGAACCCCGAUUGCGAAGGCAGCAUACCGGUGCACAACUGACGCUCAGGCACGAAAGCGUGGGUAUCGAACAGGAUUAGAUACCCCAGUAGUC